Molecule: ribosomal RNA, 497 nt
Filed under: uncultured bacterium
Lineage: Bacteria
Description: partial 16S ribosomal RNA
Rfam family: Bacterial small subunit ribosomal RNA
Source: RNAcentral
GAUGAACGCUGGCGGCGUGCCUAAUACAUGCAAGUCGAGCGAACAGACGAGGAGCUUACUCCUCUGACGUUAGCGGCGGACGGGUGAGUAACACGUGGAUAACCUACCUAUAAGACUGGGAUAACUUCGGGAAACCGGAGCUAAUACCGGAUAACAUGUUGAACCGCAUGGUUCAACAGUGAAAGACGGUCUUGCUGUCACUUAUAGAUGGAUCCGCGUCGCAUUAGCUAGUUGGUAAGGUAACGGCUUACCAAGGCAACGAUGCGUAGCCGACCUGAGAGGGUGGUCGGCCACACUGGAACUGAGACAGGGUCCAGACUCCUACGGGAGGCAGCAGUAGGGAAUCUUCCGCAAUGGGCGAAAGCCUGACGGAGCAACGCCGCGUGAGUGAAGAAGGUCUUCGGAUCGUAAAACUCUGUUAUUAGGGAAGAACAAAUGUGUAAGUAACUAUGCACGUCUUGACGGUACCUAAUCAGAAAGCCACGGCUAACUACGUG